This 257-nucleotide ribosomal RNA is filed under the name uncultured bacterium. Its description in RNAcentral is "partial 16S ribosomal RNA". It matches the Rfam family "Bacterial small subunit ribosomal RNA", at positions 15 to 279 of the family's 1533-position model. The record is from RNAcentral.
GAUCCUGGCUCAGAACGAACGCUGGCGGCAGGCUUAACACAUGCAAGUUGAACGGGAUUUGUAUGGUGCUUGCACCAUGUAAUGAGAGUAGCGCACUGGUGAGUAACACGUGGGAACAUACCUUGAAGUGGGGGACAACAGUUGGAAACGACUGCUAAUACCGCAUAAUCCCUGAGGGGGGAAAGAUUUUAUCGCUUUAAGAUUGGCCCCGCGGAAGAUUAGGUAGUUGGUGGGGUAAAGGCCUACCAAGCCGACGA